Long non-coding RNA from Camelina sativa (false flax), 879 nucleotides. RefSeq lists it as uncharacterized. Lineage: Eukaryota; Viridiplantae; Streptophyta; Magnoliopsida; Brassicales; Brassicaceae. The record is from RefSeq and is a predicted model, not a curated record.
CAGCAGCAAGAUUCAUCUGCGUAGCGUUCUCUGAAGAAAAACCCUAAUCUGAAGAUCCAAUUCAAAGGUAGUGGUCUCCUAUGGGAUACUAAUAAUAAUGGAUCCUGGUCCUGGAGCUGUAGAAAGAAAGAGAUGCGUCGAGUUCGUGACCAAAGUGUAUAAGAUGGUUGAUGAACCUUCGACGGAUUCAAUCAUCUCCUGGGGACCAAACGGCGUCAGUUUCAUAGUUUCGAAACCGCUAGAAUGCUGCAGAGACCUUCUUCCCAAAUACUUAGGACUCAGUAACUUCAUACUAUUUCAAAAUUAUGGGUUUAAAAAAAGUGGUGGAGUCGAGGCAAUUGGAAUACGCAUGCGAAGAUUUCGUGAAAGACCAACCUGAGCGUUUGGAGAAGAUUGGGAAACGCCAAGAGGAGAAGCUUAAUGCGGAUUGUGACAAGCUACAUGAGGCGCGGAUGAAACAAAUGAGAAGCUGCAAGACGGUGCAGGAGUGGGAGUUAGUCCGGAAGAGAAGUUUAAAGGAGAUGUUGUCCAAAAUGGAUGAGAAAUAUUCAAAGGACGUCGAGCGUUUUAUGCAAACUGUUGCAUACGAAAGGGAGUGGAGAAGAGAAGCUUUUCCUAAAGAAUUAGAGGAUCGGCUGCAACUCGUCCUUGACAGCCUCAAAGAUUUGAUCAAUUCUACUAAUGAUCUAGUACAAGUCUGAUUUUGUGCUAUAUGACUCAUCCAUCUUCUUAUAUGUUUCUUUAAUCUUCUUAUCCCCCAUUAUGUCUGUCAUAUGACUCUAUAAUCUCUUACUAUUAUGUAAUUUCUAUCUGUGGAUUUCUCUAAUGUAUGAAGAAGCUAACUGUAGUUGAUUUUGGUUUGGUAAUUGGUUAAAACUG